GACGAACGCUGGCGGCGUGCUUAACACAUGCAAGUCGAGCGAAUGGAUUGAGAGCUUGCUCUUAUGAAGUUAGCGGCGGACGGGUGAGUAACACGUGGGUAACCUGCCCAUAAGACUGGGAUAACUCCGGGAAACCGGGGCUAAUACCGGAUAACAUUUUGAACCGCAUGGUUCGAAAUUGAAAGGCGGCUUCGGCUGUCACUUAUGGAUGGACCCGCGUCGCAUUAGCUAGUUGGUGAGGUAACGGCUCACCAAGGCAACGAUGCGUAGCCGCCCUGGGAGGGUGAUCGGCCACACUGGGACUGAGACACGGCCCAGACUCCUACGGGAGGCAGCAGUAGGGAAUCUUCCGCAAUGGACGAAAGUCUGACGGAGCAACGCCGCGUGAGUGAUGAAGGCUUUCGGGUCGUAAAACUCUGUUGUUAGGGAAGAACAAGUGCUAGUUGAAUAAGCUGGCACCUUGACGGUACCUAACCAGAAAGCCACGGCUAACUACGUGCCAGCCGCCGCGGUAA
This 515-nucleotide ribosomal RNA is filed under the name uncultured bacterium. RNAcentral's name for it is "partial 16S ribosomal RNA". It matches the Rfam family "Bacterial small subunit ribosomal RNA", at positions 28 to 523 of the family's 1533-position model. The record is from RNAcentral.